This 492-nucleotide ribosomal RNA is filed under the name uncultured bacterium. RNAcentral describes it as "partial 16S ribosomal RNA". It matches the Rfam family "Bacterial small subunit ribosomal RNA", at positions 29 to 507 of the family's 1533-position model. The record is from RNAcentral.
AGUGAACGCUGGCGGUAGGCCUAACACAUGCAAGUCGAACGGCAGCACAGUAAGAGCUUGCUCUUACGGGUGGCGAGUGGCGGACGUGUGAGGAAUACAUCGUAAUCUACUUUUUCGUGUGGCAUAACGUAGGGAAACUUACUCUAAUACCGCAUACGACCUACGGGUGAAAGCAUGGGAUCUUCUGACCUUGCGCGAUUGAAUGCGCCGCUGUCGGAUUAGCUAGUUGGGUGGGUAAUGGCCUACUAAGGCGACGAUCCGCAGCCCGACUGAGUGAAGGAUCGCCGGCAUGGGAGCGGGACCAGGGACAAGACUACUACGAGAGGGAGCAGUGGGGAAUAUUGGACAAUGGUCGCAAGCCUGACCCAGCCAUACCGCGUGGGUGACGAAGGCCUUGGGGUUGUAAAGCCCUUUUGUUGGGAAAGAAAAGCAGCAGGCUAAUACCCAGCUGUUCUGACGGUAACCAAUGAAGAAGCACCGGCUAACUUCGUG